GAUACCCUAUUAUUAUAAAAGUGAAUUUUUGUACUUAGAUUAUUAAAAGUUAAGUUCUUUAAAAUUAAAAAAUUUGGCGGUAUUUUAGUCUGUUCAGAGGAACCUGUUUUUUAAUCGAUAAUCCACGAUGAAUUUUACUUUAGCUUUAAAUUUAUAUAUCGUUGUUUGUAAAAAUUCUAGGAGGAGAAAAAUUUUUUGGAUUUUUAAUUAUGAAGGAUUUCAGAUCAAGGUGUAGUUUAUGCUGGAGUUAGAAUGGGUUACAUUGUAUUUAUAUUUGGAAUUUUAUUUUAAAAGUUAAAUGUAAAAUGGAUUUGAUAGUAAAUUCUUUAUUUAUGGGAGUUGAUUUAGCUCUAUAAUAUGCACACAUCGCC
Molecule: ribosomal RNA, 371 nt
Filed under: Trachyscelis ciliaris
Lineage: Eukaryota; Metazoa; Arthropoda; Insecta; Coleoptera; Tenebrionidae
Description: partial 12S ribosomal RNA
Source: RNAcentral